AUUGAACGCUGGCGGAAUGCUUUACACAUGCAAGUCGAACGGCAGCACGGACUUCGGUCUGGUGGCGAGUGGCGAACGGGUGAGUAAUAUAUCGGAACGUGCCCAGUCGUGGGGGAUAACGUAGUGAAAAUUACGCUAAUACCGCAUACGAUCUAAGGAUGAAAGCGGGGGAUCGCAAGACCUCGCGCGAUUGGAGCGGCCGAUAUCAGAUUAGGUAGUUGGUAGGGGAAAGGCCUACCAAGCCAACGAUCUGUAGCUGGUCUGAGAGGACGACCAGCCACACGGGAACUGAGACACGGUCCAGACUCCUACGGGAGGCAGCAGUGGGGAAUUUUGGACAAUGGGCGAAAGCCUGAUCCAGCCAUUCCGCGUGCAGGAUGAAGGCCCUCGGGUUGUAAACUGCUUUUGUACAGAACGAAAAGGUCUCUACUAAUACUAGGGGCUCAUGACGGUACUGUAAGAAUAAGCACCGGCUAACUACGUGCCAGCAGCCGCCGCAG
RNAcentral lists this ribosomal RNA (500 nucleotides) under uncultured bacterium. RNAcentral describes it as "partial 16S ribosomal RNA". It matches the Rfam family "Bacterial small subunit ribosomal RNA", at positions 30 to 523 of the family's 1533-position model. The record is from RNAcentral.